UAAACGACUCUCGGCAACGGAUAUCUCGGCUCUCGCAUCGAUGAAGAACGUAGCGAAAUGCGAUACUUGGUGUGAAUUGCAGAAUCCCGUGAACCAUCGAGUCUUUGAACGCAAGUUGCGCCCGAAGCCUUUGGGCUAAGGGCACGUCUGCCUGGGCGUCACGC
This 164-nucleotide ribosomal RNA is filed under the name Sabulina douglasii. RNAcentral's name for it is "5.8S ribosomal RNA". It matches the Rfam family "5.8S ribosomal RNA". From Rfam's summary of the family: 5.8S ribosomal RNA (5.8S rRNA) is a component of the large subunit of the eukaryotic ribosome. It is transcribed by RNA polymerase I as part of the 45S precursor that also contains 18S and 28S rRNA. Functionally, it is thought that 5.8S rRNA may be involved in ribosome translocation. Lineage: Eukaryota; Viridiplantae; Streptophyta; Magnoliopsida; Caryophyllales; Caryophyllaceae. The record is from RNAcentral.